This 460-nucleotide ribosomal RNA is filed under the name uncultured bacterium. RNAcentral's name for it is "partial 16S ribosomal RNA". It matches the Rfam family "Bacterial small subunit ribosomal RNA", at positions 338 to 795 of the family's 1533-position model. The record is from RNAcentral.
CCUACGGGAGUCAGCAGUGAGGAAUAUUGGUCAAUGGACGAGAGUCUGAACCAGCCAAGUAGCGUGAAGGAGGCCUGCCCAAUGGAUUGUACACUUCUUUUAUAAAGGAAUAAAACGAGGCACGCGUGCCUUUUUGCAUGUACUUGAUGAAUAAGGAUCGGCUAACUCCGUGCCAGCCGCCGCGGUAAUACGGAGGAUGCGAGCGUUAGACGGAUUUAUUGGGUUUAAAGGGAGCGUAUAUGGGUUGUUAAGUCAGUUGUGAAAGUUGGCGGGUCAACCGUAAAAUUGCAAUUGAUACUGGCUGUCUUGAGUAGAUUUGAGGUAGGCGGAAUGCGUGGUGUAGCGGUGAAAUGCUUAGAUAUCACGAAGAACCCCGAUUGCGAAGGCAGCUUACUAAACUGUGACUGACAUUGAUGCUCGAAAGUGUGGGUAUCGAACAGGAUUAGAUACCCUAGUAGUC